AUGAAAUUAACCAAGACAAAACUAAACACGCUGCUCAUAUUAACUCUAGCAUUUCACAUCUCAUCUUCAGAAGCUUCUGGUGAUAAGGCUCUGAGGAUCCUGGUUGUGGGAGUCAGAGGUCAGUCCAGAUUCAGUGCUGUAGAUCUUCUGUCAGGAAGGAAAGACGGAGGACAGGAGGACAGAGAGAUUGUAAAGACUCCAGUAAUUACAGACGGGGCUCGUAGAAUGAUGCUGGUCACUGGACCAAACCUCUGUGAGGAGGACACAGAGAGACAGACCUUCACAACAGCGCUGUUUCUCUCGUCUCCUGGACCUCACGCCGUUCUAAUGGUCCUGAAUCUGGAAGAUCAACAAUCACAACAGUGUGAUAUUGAGAAACGAGCCCAGGAGCUGCUGGGAGCAGAAGUCCUGCAGUACUGCAUUGUUCUUCUGCUCCAAAAUCACCAGGAACCUUUGACAGGAGCCUCCAGAGGGAUUGCUGGAGAAAUGAUCAACGCAUGUGGAGGAAGAUUUCACAUCAUAAGAGACUCUGAACCAAAACCUGCUCAAAGAACAACUCUUAUAACAGAAAUAGAGAAGUUAGUUUGGCUCAAUGAUCACAGAUUUCACUCAGUAUUGAGACAAGAAUUAGAAACAGAAAUGCUGGAACUUUUACAAACACUUCAAGAAAUAGAGAACAAACUUCAAGAAGAGACCACUCAGAAUGUAAAUGAAGAAUAUCCAGUCUUGCCUGUAAUAUAUGACACUUUCGGAGGAGUUGUUGGAAUUGUAGGAUGGAUUUUCUUCAUUGUACUGAACGCUGUUGUUAUUUUCACUAAAGGAAAGCAUGAACUUUGUAAUUUUGGAGCAAUAAUAUGCAUACUUGUUAUCUUCAUGGUCACAUUGAGAAAUAAUAUGAGUCCAAAUGUUGCUGUACCAAUAAAUUUGAUUCUAUCCUCAACAUUUACUAUUGCAGUUUCAUUAGCUUACUUAGCAAAUUUAUUGCAUGAACAUAAAAUAUUAAAAGCUUUAGUGAUUUUACUUUCAUAUUCUAGUACAGUGUUUAUAUUAGGUCUAGGACUGACUGUAGGAACAGCGGUCAGCGUACAGACGUGGUCAGAUGUGCUCAUAGCUUGCCGUGCUGCCCCUGGGAUCACAUUUGGGGCUUAUUUAUUAACCCUUCAUUUCACUGUACCGGAUCAAAGGUAUGUUCAGACACCUUUGCAGUUAGUUUUAUUCUUUGUACUUAUUUUUUUCUUGUUUUGUUCAGCUGGAGUGACACUCUCAGUGGGGUUUGCGACUGUAUUUGCUCUGUUCGGUCUGAAGAUGUCAGUAAUCCUGCUAAUAUUAGGAUUAACAAUAGCAUAUUUCCAUUUAAAGAGUCAAUCUGUGAUGUUUGUUGUUUUUGUCCUGGUUUUUCCAUUCUGUUGUGUAUUUAUUGGUUCUUCCAUUUUGUUUUUAUUACGGUUUGUGGUGAAUUUUGUCUUUGCAUUUUAAGAAAUCAUAGCACUUUAUUGUUGGGAUCUUUUUUUAUAUACAGUACUUUGAAACCAGUUAUAGUGACUAAAUCACAAAAGACACUGACAGACUUCUGGUCAAAACAAGAGCAAAUGUUGAUUUUAUUCUUAAGUUAAUAUUUAAAACAUAUUAAUAGUUCCUUUACCAUUGUACAUUUCCACAAUAUCUAGUGUGAUGUAUUGUGUUUUUUGUUUUUUCAAUUAAUGAAUUAAAUUACUAAUUUAUUUGUCUUAUUAAGGCCAUUUUAUGUAUGUACAUACCAAAAACAAAACAUGUUUGUAUUGACACUUUUUACAUAAUAACAGAAUUGUCCUGUUACGCAUGUAUAUGAAUUUUUGAAAAAUUAAAUACUUAUUAUUUUCUAACUCUGUUUAGAUCUCAUUUACUUGUUAUGAAAUGUCCUGACUGUCAGAUUUACUGUAAUACCGAACAACUCUUAAUCUUUAACCAUUUGAGUUUAAAUUAUUGAGGAUUUUUCUGUGGAACAGUUGCUACCAUCUACUAAACUUCAGUCAGACAAAUGAACAAAGGCACUCACUGUAACAGUCUGCAGUCGCUCUGGAUAAAGACGUCUGCUCAAUGUCCACUUACUUCCUCUGCAGCUCUGCAGACAAACCAAUGCAGUUUUACUGGAAAUAAUACAAAUAAUGCUGAUGUUGUGAUUUAAACCAGAGGUGCAGAUCAGAUGUUCACAUCUG
Cyprinus carpio carpio is the source of this 2195-nucleotide long non-coding RNA. NCBI's taxonomy places the organism in Eukaryota, Metazoa, Chordata, Actinopteri, Cypriniformes, Cyprinidae. The record is from Ensembl.